AAUUCUAUCUAUUGCCAUCUCUAAUUAUAACUACGAUGAAUGCCACAAUCAUGCAGCAAAAUAAGAACAAAUUAACUUGUUGGAAAUUGGAAAUGAGCAUUACCGCUGCUGCCGCCACCGGAGAGAGCUUCAACCAUCCUCGCCAUCUGUUCCUCUACCUCUCUCAGCAGGCCUCUCUGUGACCUCCAAGACUUCACAUGCCGUCUUCUAAAAUACUUGCAGGGGGCAACAAGCCGAAACUUCCAGGAAGCAUGCAACACGGUGAAACUUCUACGUGGAGACCUCCUCAUUCUGUGGUAUAGGUUUCUCGGAGAGUGGGUUCCAAUUAAUUCCAGUUAACGUCAAGAACAGAUCAAUACAAUACAAACAAAAAAUUAAAA
This 380-nucleotide long non-coding RNA is filed under the name Elaeis guineensis (African oil palm). RNAcentral describes it as "long non-coding RNA (EGUI_LNC018718)". The record is from RNAcentral. Lineage: Eukaryota; Viridiplantae; Streptophyta; Magnoliopsida; Arecales; Arecaceae.